ACUAUAAUAGUUUAACAAAAAAAACAGAGGUUUUGUAAACCUCAAAUGAAUUAUCUUAUAGAA
Molecule: transfer RNA, 63 nt
Filed under: Ornithodoros tabajara
Lineage: Eukaryota; Metazoa; Arthropoda; Arachnida; Ixodida; Argasidae
Description: tRNA-Thr
Source: RNAcentral